GAUGAACGCUGGCGGCGUGCCUAAUACAUGCAAGUCGAGCGAACAGACGAGGAGCUUGCUCCUCUGACGUUAGCGGCGGACGGGUGAGUAACACGUGGAUAACCUACCUAUAAGACUGGGAUAACUUCGGGAAACCGGAGCUAAUACCGGAUAAUAUAUUGAACCGCAUGGUUCAAUAGUGAAAGACGGUUUUGCUGUCACUUAUAGAUGGAUCCGCGCCGCAUUAGCUAGUUGGUAAGGUAACGGCUUACCAAGGCGACGAUGCGUAGCCGACCUGAGAGGGUGAUAGGCCACAAUGGAACGGAGACACGGUCCAGACUCCUACGGGAGGCAGCAGUAGGGAAUCUUCCGCAAUGGGCGAAAGCCUGACGGAGCAACGCCGCGUGAGUGAUGAAGGUAUUCGGAUCGUAAAACUCUGUUAUUAGGGAAGAACAAAUGUGUAAGUAACUAUGCACGUCUUGACGGUACCUAAUCAGAAAGCCACGGCUAACUACGUG
This 497-nucleotide ribosomal RNA is filed under the name uncultured bacterium. RNAcentral describes it as "partial 16S ribosomal RNA". It matches the Rfam family "Bacterial small subunit ribosomal RNA", at positions 28 to 507 of the family's 1533-position model. The record is from RNAcentral.